Trachemys scripta elegans is the source of this 1493-nucleotide long non-coding RNA. RefSeq lists it as uncharacterized. NCBI's taxonomy places the organism in Eukaryota, Metazoa, Chordata, Testudines, Emydidae. The transcript has 3 exons. The record is from RefSeq and is a predicted model, not a curated record.
GGAGCCAAGGAUUUGUUUCUAGAGAUUUGGGUCAGGAUAAGAAGCCCUAGGAAGAAACAAUCCAAAAGGCCUUAGGGAAUGUUGCUGAUGCCAGUCUUUUUCACAGCAGUUUGAUUAAUUAUCAUCCAUCCAUCCAUCCAUCCAAUGUUAAACAGUUUAGGGAGGAUAUACUGUGACUUAAAUCCAUCAGAAAUGACCCCUAAGGAAGAAAGAGCUUGUUUGCACAGCACCUAUCAGAGUGAGGGCCUAGGUCAUGACUAGGUCUCCUAGGCGCUGCCAUAAUACAAAUAGAUAGAUUAGAUUAGAUUAGAUUAGAUUAGAUUAGAUGCUUGUGGAAACCUUUCUACCUCUGUUGCUAGAGUCAAAAUAAUAUUUUGCCUUCUCCAAAAAAUAAGACAUAAACCAGACGUGAGCCCCAGAGCUGCUGAGCCCUGCUCCCUGCCAUCACAAGCAACCCCGUCAUACAGUUUCAUGCAUACAUUUGUCCAGCACUCUCUUAAAAUUAAUUGUCCCCACUCCCCAACUCCUGUUGGAAGGCUUUUCUGGAACCUCACCCCUCUGAGGGUUAGAAACCUUUUUCUAAUCUCCAGCCUGAAUUUGCUGAUGGCCAGUUUAUACCCAUUUGUUCUUGUGCCAACAUUGUUUUUUAGCUUAAAUAGCGCUUCUCUGUCUUUGGUAUUUACCCCCCAAUGAGAUAUGCACUUUAAUGAACCUAGUGAGAUAGGCUCGUUAUCUCCCUAUUUUACAGAUGGGGAAACUGAGGCAGACAGCGAUUAAGCAACAAGCCUAAAAUUAUACUGAGAGUCAGUGGCAGAAUGGGAAUAGAAUUUAGGAAUCUGGACCCCACGUCACCUGCUUCAACCCACUAGAUUAACCACACUCUCUUCCACAGCUGGGUAAGGAACCUAGGAAUGCAAUUCCCCAUCUCCUGCUCUAAUCACUAGAGAACAGCUUCGACCCCACCCCCAAAUAGAGCUACCUCAGAGACUGCCUGAUUUUUUGGCCUGGUUCCAUGUAGUUUGUCACUCCGUGACAUUUGCUCCUUGGCAGUGAAAUUGCGUGUCCUGUUUCUUUAACUGUGUAGCAGGAAGCCAUGCAACAGGGGAGUUGGGCAAGGUUGUAGGCAGAAGGGCUACAGUGAAGCAGCCAGAAAGCCAAGAAAACUUUAGAGAUAACCUGAUGGGCUGUUUAUUCUCCCAGGAAGUACUCCUCUCCCUGUUUGCAACAGCCUAGUCAUCUCCACUGCAAGUGACCACAAACUCCCAGCAUGGAGAAUCCUGAGCACAGGUUCCCUGGUGUAAACCUGUCCUAAGGGGGUGCAGUCCCACGGAGCUUGAGGGUUGUGAGUUGCCCUGUAUCACGCCAACACAAUGAGAGAAGCCCAGAGCCUCGCUCAAUGCUUGGAUAUGUAGAUGGUUCUGACGGUGCUGGUUCAAGUUUUGGGUCGAGAUUCAGCAGGUCACCAUGAGUGAUAUCACUCUGAUGAGGAUUUC